This 253-nucleotide ribosomal RNA is filed under the name uncultured bacterium. RNAcentral's name for it is "partial 16S ribosomal RNA". It matches the Rfam family "Bacterial small subunit ribosomal RNA", at positions 524 to 776 of the family's 1533-position model. The record is from RNAcentral.
UACGUAGGGGGCAAGCGUUGUCCGGAAUCAUUGGGCGUAAAGAGCGUGUAGGCGGCCCGGUAAGUCCGCUGUGAAAGUCCAGGGCUCAACCCUGGGAUGCCGGUGGAUACUGUCGGGCUCGAGUCCGGAAGAGGAGUGUGGAAUUCCUGGUGUAGCGGUGAAAUGCGCAGAUAUCAGGAGGAACACCAAUGGCGAAGGCAGCACUCUGGGAAGUGACUGACGCUGAGACGCGAAAGCGUGGGGAGCAAACAGG